GGGGCGUUAGCUCAGUUGGUUAGAGCAGAGGACUCAUAAUCCUUUGGUCGAGUGUUCAAGUCACUCACGCCCUACCA
This 77-nucleotide transfer RNA is filed under the name Rhodoferax sp. Its description in RNAcentral is "tRNA-Ile". It matches the Rfam family "tRNA". From Rfam's summary of the family: Transfer RNA (tRNA) molecules are approximately 80 nucleotides in length. Lineage: Bacteria; Pseudomonadati; Pseudomonadota; Betaproteobacteria; Burkholderiales; Comamonadaceae. RNAcentral also lists the same sequence under 49 other names. The record is from RNAcentral.